RNAcentral lists this ribosomal RNA (253 nucleotides) under uncultured bacterium. RNAcentral describes it as "partial 16S ribosomal RNA". It matches the Rfam family "Bacterial small subunit ribosomal RNA", at positions 524 to 776 of the family's 1533-position model. The record is from RNAcentral.
UACAGAGGUGGCAAGCGUUGUUCGGAAUUAUUGGGCGUAAAGGGCGCGUAGGCGGCCUUCUCAGUCAGACGUGAAAUCCCCGGGCUUAACUCGGGAACUGCGUCUGAUACUGGAAGGCUGGAGUUCGGGAGAGGGAUGUGGAAUUCCAGGUGUAGCGGUGAAAUGCGUAGAUAUCUGGAGGAACACCGGUGGCGAAGGCGGCAUCCUGGACCGAAACUGACGCUGAGGCGCGAAAGCCAGGGGAGCAAACGGG